UGACGUGGCCUCUUCUCCUCCACAGAAACUAGCGAAAUUUUGUUGACUGUUAACCUUCUGUUAACUGUAAAUUUCGUGUUGUCAUGGUAAAAGGAUAAGGGGUUUCUGGUAUAUUGGCAUCUGGGAUGUGAGGGUUACAGACUUGGCUCGACAUUUAUCUGGUUUGGCAGCUUAUUCAUCAAAGCCACGGAGAAGCGAGGACUUGGAUGAUCCCGAAGCUCCGCCGCAUCAACCAGCCCAUUACGGCCCUGCUGGAUGGACUCUUUUACAAGAUACUCUUUUUUCAAUUGUAAAGACAAGCAAAUAUUGCUCACACUUUCUUGUAGUCUAAACAUCACUCAGUCCUUAGCUAUUUAAUCUUAGGCUAUAACUUUAAUUUCAGUUUUGUUUAGGCAAUUGAAGUAUGGUCAUGGCUCUAGCUGGGAAUAAAGCAGAUCUAGUAGAGUGAAGGAAAGUGGCAGCAGAGUUGAUUAAACUGAAAGGACAUAUACAAAAAGCUGGAUAAACUUCCAGGCUGAAGAUGGUAAAAGACUUUGGAGGCACAAGCAAAUACACUAAAGUAAUUGGUACUUGAAGUAGAACGAGGAAGAUCCUUGUAAAAGUUUGAACCCUAUGUAGUAGAGAAAGAUAACUACCUUGUAAAACUCAAUUAUCUUGUAAACUUUCGUAGAAGCUUCAUUCCUUUUAUAACAUUUAUGAGAAAAAUUAAAAUGUAUCAUUCCCUUUCGUACAAGCUUUA
Rosa chinensis is the source of this 739-nucleotide long non-coding RNA. RefSeq lists it as uncharacterized. NCBI's taxonomy places the organism in Eukaryota, Viridiplantae, Streptophyta, Magnoliopsida, Rosales, Rosaceae. The transcript is spliced from 5 exons. The record is from RefSeq and is a predicted model, not a curated record.